GCUCCCGCCCCAUUUCAUUUUGGCUACGUACCGGAUCGUCUGCCAUCUAAGCAGAGGGUCGGGGGUUCAAUUCCCUCCGGGCGCGCCA
Molecule: transfer RNA, 88 nt
Filed under: Acidobacteriota bacterium
Lineage: Bacteria; Pseudomonadati; Acidobacteriota
Description: Acidobacteria bacterium tRNA-Arg
Source: RNAcentral